This 253-nucleotide ribosomal RNA is filed under the name uncultured bacterium. RNAcentral's name for it is "partial 16S ribosomal RNA". It matches the Rfam family "Bacterial small subunit ribosomal RNA", at positions 524 to 776 of the family's 1533-position model. The record is from RNAcentral.
UACGGAGGAUCCAAGCGUUAUCCGGAAUCAUUGGGUUUAAAGGGUCCGUAGGCGGUCUAAUAAGUCAGUGGUGAAAGCCCAUCGCUUAACGAUGGAACGGCCAUUGAUACUGUUAGACUUGAAUUACUGGGAAGUAACUAGAAUAUGUAGUGUAGCGGUGAAAUGCUUAGAUAUUACAUGGAAUACCAAUUGCGAAGGCAGGUUACUACCAGUGGAUUGACGCUGAUGGACGAAAGCGUGGGGAGCGAACAGG